UCUUCUAGUUAUAUCUGUGAAAGUUACUGAUAUACUUGUAUUCAUUUUGCUAAUUGGAGUGUUUGCUUUUUAUCUUCCUUUUUAUCAGCUUCUCUAUAUGGAAGCCCAUCAUGCUCACAGGUAACCCCAUUCUUCUGCGACUUCCUCCUGCAGCCACUUGCUCUAGCUGCCUGACCUCACUGGCAAUUCUUGAAUGCCUUCCUUGCUAGGCCUCCCCAGAUUUGCCUGUGCCACUCAUCUGUGGGAUGAGUUCAUAGUUCUUUCUACUAUGCAACUUAUACAUUGGACAAUUUCCCACUUGUACUUUAUGCCUCAGUUCAGGGUCACCUUGUCUAUGAAAAUUUUCAGGAUACUUUGAGCCCAGGAUGAUUUGCUGCAUCCUCCUGUUUCCAUAGUACCUAGAGCAUCUCUUUGUUAUGGUUCUCACCAUGUAUUUACUAAAUACAUGUUUAAAUGCCUUUAUUUUCUAGACCAGGAACUUCUUAAUGGUAAGGAGUAUGUCCCUAUUUCUAUCCCCAGAAUCUAGUCCAAUACUUGGCCCAAUUCAUAUUUGUUAAACAAAUGAAUAAAACUAAAAAAUAGAGUUACUAUAAAGAAAAAGGACUUGUUCUGUAAAUCAUAAACAACAUCAUUCUUACUUCUGAUAUGCUUUCCCCCCCCCCCGUUUUAAUAAGACUGGCUUACUUUUCCAACUGCAUUGUGAGUUUUAUGUGGCAGGGACCAUAUUUUGUAGUAGGUUGGUGCCACUUCAUCUUUAAUAGAGUGUUGUGUGUGUAACAAAAUCCCAGAAAAUACUGUUUGAUUGAUGAGAUACAUACAUUCUGACCACUUGUAUUUUACCCAUACAAAAUGUUUUUUAUUAAAAUAAG
Molecule: long non-coding RNA, 869 nt
Filed under: Marmota monax (woodchuck)
Lineage: Eukaryota; Metazoa; Chordata; Mammalia; Rodentia; Sciuridae
Source: RNAcentral